This 269-nucleotide RNase P RNA is filed under the name Flavobacteriaceae bacterium. Its description in RNAcentral is "partial RNase P RNA component class A". It matches the Rfam family "Bacterial RNase P class A", at positions 59 to 367 of the family's 367-position model. Rfam says of the family: Ribonuclease P (RNase P) is a ubiquitous endoribonuclease, found in archaea, bacteria and eukarya as well as chloroplasts and mitochondria. Its best characterised activity is the generation of mature 5'-ends of tRNAs by cleaving the 5'-leader elements of precursor-tRNAs. The record is from RNAcentral. Lineage: Bacteria; Pseudomonadati; Bacteroidota; Flavobacteriia; Flavobacteriales; Flavobacteriaceae.
CCAGAGUGCAGCAUAGCGGGUAAUGCCCGUCAUUCUAAAGUGUGUUUAUAACACUUUAGGGGAGGACAAGUGCAACAGAAAGGAUGUACAGGUUAUGCUGUAGUGAAAUCAGGUAAACUCUACGAGGUGCAAUGUUAUGUAAACCAGCGUUUGAAAGUGCACACUUGAGUUGGAGGGUAAACAGUUGGAAUUAUUUGGCAACAAAUAAUCUAGAUAAAUGACAAGGGCUUUUAGGAGUACAGAAUCCGGCUUACGGUCUGCUUUUUUAU